CUCUAAACCCUAAUGUCUACACUAAUUUACUAUAAUGGUAUAAACAUUUAUUUAUUUCUUUUGAUAAAAUAUUAAAUGCUAUUUUUGUGACUUUUGAACUUGAGUGCUAGUGUUGGAACAAAAACUUGAUUUAAUGCUAUUUUUGUCCUUUUCUCUUUAUAAUUGAACCAAAUUAAAUUUGUAAUUUCAACCCAUGUAGGCUUUUAACCUGUUAGAUUUAGUAAGUCAAAUAAUGUAAUGUGUAUGUGUGCGGCAUCGUUAUACCUUUUAGCCUGUUAGAUUCUCUGGUAAGUAGGCUGAGAAAGUGAGAAUCUCUCUGUACUUUUAUGUCAUUAUGGGAAAUAAUGCAUUUCACUUUUAUUUGGUAAUCGGAGGGUUAUGUAUCAAACAAAUUUGUAUAUGUCUUGCUUCGUCGGAGAUGAGUGAAGUCCCUCAAACAAAAUUCAAAUAUAUGAUAUCAUCUUGUUACUAUCUAGUUAACAAAAAAUGUGAAAGUCUUAGUUAUACAUUAUGAGAGAGUACUAUAAUUAUUUUGAGGGUGGAUCAUUGUUUUUGUCCAAUGGAUCGCUCGUGUUAUUCAACUAAUGAUUUCUAAAUAUCUUCUCAAAUCAUUGCCUGCCUCUGCAAGAGUUGCAUAAUCAAAAGUUGGACUUGGACAAGUGAGGACUUUAACCAAAAUUAGAGUUAAGAAUUAUCUCAAAUCAACUAAACUAUUCUGAAGGUUAAAAAAAAUCUUAUCAAAUCAUCACUUAUUUUUUCCGUUUUUUUUAGAAUCAUACCAACAUCAGCUAUAUUUACUCAAACUCUCUUUAAAUCCCACAAUAUCUAAAAUCCAUCAAACCAUUCUUAAAUCAUUAGUUCAAUACACCCUCCUAAAUGAUGAGUGAUUUACACUCAGAGGCAGUUAACAAUUUUUUAUAACAUUCUAGGACAGUUUGUGCUAUUUGGGUAGUUUUUAUGUGAAAAGACUCAAUUUGCCCUCUAUAAAACGUAACCAGUUGAUUGUGUUUUAGUUAGGUGGGUUUUAUUUGGUUUGUCUUUUGAAAUUUGAAAAUCAGUGGUGGACCCGAGGAGAGAUACAAAUCAGAUCUAAUUAUCUGAACGUGUAAAAACUAUACUUUCUUUUACUUUUUCGUAACUUUUACAGAGGAAAGAAAGAGAAACCCAAAGGUCGACGAAGAAGACGAGAUAUGGCGGCAAAUUCUUGCGAAAAAAAUUGUGAGAUAGUUGUUCCGAGAAAGAUGUCAGAGCCGGAGCCGGAGCCGUCAUGAGAAACAAAAGGACGGCGAAACGGUGGAAAAUGAACGAGCGGCAGCAAACUCUAUUCUUAAAGGAGUAUGCUUCUUAGGACUACACAAUUGGAGCAGAGAACGAACGACGAUUUUACUGAGAGAACGGUGGCAAAAUCUAUUCCGGAAGAGAUGUCAACGAGACGAAGGCGACAUGAAAAGGAGAAAGUCCAUGGUAAGAUAUAAGAACAUUGAGAGAAUGAAGGUUAUUGGUCAACAUUCUCUUCUUGGUGUCUGAGAAAGCAGUGAUUUUCAUAGAUUCAUUAUUAGCCUGAUGAGCUCCUGUAAGAAUCCGUUUUGAUUCAGAUUUUUCUUUUCUUAAUUUUUUCUUUUGUUUAAAAAAAUAUCUUACUUUGAUUCUAUUUAUUUUGGUUUCUCUUCUUUUUGUAUCAGAUCUGGCGAGAAGGCUCUAAUAUUUGAUAGAUGAAGGGGAAUGUGGGCAAACAAGCUCUAAUAUUUGACAGAUGAAACAAAAGAGGGAUAAAAAAAGUAGUUCAACGUUGUCCAUAUGUACGCUCUAUGGUAUGCCCCCAUUUACAGUCAUUAAUCCAUAGACCAUAUGUACAAUAUUAAAACAAUGUCCAUGUGUACCAAUUUGUCCCCAUGUACACUUAUUAAGCCAUAGUCUAUACGUACACUAUUAAAACAUUGUUCAUUGUCCAUAAUCACCUUAUUUUUUGUGAUCACAUAAAAUGGAAAACAACAAAAGUGUUUAAA
This is a long non-coding RNA of Brassica napus (rape), 2006 nucleotides long. RefSeq lists it as uncharacterized. The record is from RefSeq and is a predicted model, not a curated record. The transcript has 2 exons. Lineage: Eukaryota; Viridiplantae; Streptophyta; Magnoliopsida; Brassicales; Brassicaceae.